AGGACGAACGCUGGCGGCGUACUUAACACAUGCAAGUCGAGCGGAAAGGCCCUUCGGGGUACUCGAGCGGCGAACGGGUGAGUAACACGUGAGCAAUCUGCCCCUAGCUCUGGGAUAGCUCCGGGAAACCGGGAUUAAUACCAGAUACAACCACUUUAGACAUCUUUUGUGGUGGAAAGGAUUCCGGCUAGGGAUGAGCUCGCGGCCUAUCAGCUUGUUGGUUGGGUAACGCCCACAAGGCGACGACGGGUA
Molecule: ribosomal RNA, 252 nt
Filed under: uncultured bacterium
Lineage: Bacteria
Description: partial small subunit ribosomal RNA
Rfam family: Bacterial small subunit ribosomal RNA
Source: RNAcentral